Molecule: ribosomal RNA, 424 nt
Filed under: Curvibacter sp. Fw70s-79
Lineage: Bacteria; Pseudomonadati; Pseudomonadota; Betaproteobacteria; Burkholderiales; Comamonadaceae
Description: bacterial SSU rRNA
Rfam family: Bacterial small subunit ribosomal RNA
Source: RNAcentral
AUUGAACGCUGGCGGCAUGCCUUACACAUGCAAGUCGAACGGCAGCACGGGAGCAAUCCUGGUGGCGAGUGGCGAACGGGUGAGUAAUAUAUCGGAACGUGCCCAGUCGUGGGGGAUAACGUAGCGAAAGCUACGCUAAUACCGCAUACGAUCUAUGGAUGAAAGCGGGGGAUCGCAAGACCUCGCGCGAUUGGAGCGGCCGAUAUCAGAUUAGCUAGUUGGUGGGGUAAAGGCCCACCAAGGCGACGAUCUGUAGCUGGUCUGAGAGGACGACCAGCCACACUGGGACUGAGACACGGCCCAGACUCCUACGGGAGGCAGCAGUGGGGAAUUUUGGACAAUGGGCGCAAGCCUGAUCCAGCAAUGCCGCGUGCAGGAUGAAGGCCUUCGGGUUGUAAACUGCUUUUGUACGGAGCGAAACGGU